GAUAAUACGUUGAUGAGAAGAGUAAAUUGUGGAGUAUUUCAGAGAGGAAUACAGUAGCUGAAAGUAUUCUAAUGCAGAAGCAAUUGAAGACUACCUCGGAGUGGCCCUAAUCCGGCCCGGUGAUUCCGUUACCAUCGAAUGAAGCCGGGAUAUCAAAGCAUAGCUUUUAUGUCCAAUAAGGGUGGAACCGCGAGUGAUACUCGUCCCUUUC
Molecule: non-coding RNA, 211 nt
Filed under: Lachnoclostridium phytofermentans
Lineage: Bacteria; Bacillati; Bacillota; Clostridia; Lachnospirales; Lachnospiraceae
Description: Clostridium phytofermentans T-box sequence
Rfam family: T-box leader
About the family: Uncharged tRNA acts as the effector for transcription antitermination of genes in the T-box leader family. T-boxes are found upstream of many aminoacyl-tRNA synthetase genes and some amino acid biosynthetic genes usually in Gram-positive bacteria.
Source: RNAcentral